GGGCCCGUAGCGCAGCCUGGAUAGCGCGGCAGCCUCCUAAGCUGUAGGUCGUGGGUUCGAAUCCCACCGGGCCCG
This 75-nucleotide transfer RNA is filed under the name Nitrososphaeria archaeon. RNAcentral's name for it is "tRNA-Arg". It matches the Rfam family "tRNA". From Rfam's summary of the family: Transfer RNA (tRNA) molecules are approximately 80 nucleotides in length. Their secondary structure includes four short double-helical elements and three loops (D, anti-codon, and T loops). RNAcentral also lists the same sequence under 1 other name. Lineage: Archaea; Thermoproteati; Nitrososphaerota; Nitrososphaeria. The record is from RNAcentral.